Molecule: unclassified non-coding RNA, 205 nt
Filed under: soil metagenome
Description: partial internal transcribed spacer 1
Source: RNAcentral
AUGAAAAAAGGCUUCCGCGAAAAAAACUGGAGCGGGCAGACACUCAAUCCCGUCGAGAUCAUCGUUGUGGGGAGAGGCAGUUGGCCAGCUCUGUUUUUGAAGCGUGAAAACUCACCUUUUGUGAACCGUACAUAUUUUCCACGUCGUAUUUUCAAAAGUCUAAAGUAAAAGUUGAUCUUAUUUCAUUUCACGAAUAUGAAAAAAA